This 1552-nucleotide ribosomal RNA is filed under the name Salmonella enterica. RNAcentral describes it as "bacterial SSU rRNA". It matches the Rfam family "Bacterial small subunit ribosomal RNA". Lineage: Bacteria; Pseudomonadati; Pseudomonadota; Gammaproteobacteria; Enterobacterales; Enterobacteriaceae. The record is from RNAcentral.
AAAUUGAAGAGUUUGAUCAUGGCUCAGAUUGAACGCUGGCGGCAGGCCUAACACAUGCAAGUCGAACGGUAACAGGAAGCAGCUUGCUGCUUCGCUGACGAGUGGCGGACGGGUGAGUAAUGUCUGGGAAACUGCCUGAUGGAGGGGGAUAACUACUGGAAACGGUGGCUAAUACCGCAUAACGUCGCAAGACCAAAGAGGGGGACCUUCGGGCCUCUUGCCAUCAGAUGUGCCCAGAUGGGAUUAGCUUGUUGGUGAGGUAACGGCUCACCAAGGCGACGAUCCCUAGCUGGUCUGAGAGGAUGACCAGCCACACUGGAACUGAGACACGGUCCAGACUCCUACGGGAGGCAGCAGUGGGGAAUAUUGCACAAUGGGCGCAAGCCUGAUGCAGCCAUGCCGCGUGUAUGAAGAAGGCCUUCGGGUUGUAAAGUACUUUCAGCGGGGAGGAAGGUGUUGUGGUUAAUAACCACAGCAAUUGACGUUACCCGCAGAAGAAGCACCGGCUAACUCCGUGCCAGCAGCCGCGGUAAUACGGAGGGUGCAAGCGUUAAUCGGAAUUACUGGGCGUAAAGCGCACGCAGGCGGUCUGUCAAGUCGGAUGUGAAAUCCCCGGGCUCAACCUGGGAACUGCAUUCGAAACUGGCAGGCUUGAGUCUUGUAGAGGGGGGUAGAAUUCCAGGUGUAGCGGUGAAAUGCGUAGAGAUCUGGAGGAAUACCGGUGGCGAAGGCGGCCCCCUGGACAAAGACUGACGCUCAGGUGCGAAAGCGUGGGGAGCAAACAGGAUUAGAUACCCUGGUAGUCCACGCCGUAAACGAUGUCUACUUGGAGGUUGUGCCCUUGAGGCGUGGCUUCCGGAGCUAACGCGUUAAGUAGACCGCCUGGGGAGUACGGCCGCAAGGUUAAAACUCAAAUGAAUUGACGGGGGCCCGCACAAGCGGUGGAGCAUGUGGUUUAAUUCGAUGCAACGCGAAGAACCUUACCUGGUCUUGACAUCCACAGAACUUUCCAGAGAUGGACUGGUGCCUUCGGGAACUGUGAGACAGGUGCUGCAUGGCUGUCGUCAGCUCGUGUUGUGAAAUGUUGGGUUAAGUCCCGCAACGAGCGCAACCCUUAUCCUUUGUUGCCAGCGGUUAGGCCGGGAACUCAAAGGAGACUGCCAGUGAUAAACUGGAGGAAGGUGGGGAUGACGUCAAGUCAUCAUGGCCCUUACGACCAGGGCUACACACGUGCUACAAUGGCGCAUACAAAGAGAAGCGACCUCGCGAGAGCAAGCGGACCUCAUAAAGUGCGUCGUAGUCCGGAUUGGAGUCUGCAACUCGACUCCAUGAAGUCGGAAUCGCUAGUAAUCGUGGAUCAGAAUGCCACGGUGAAUACGUUCCCGGGCCUUGUACACACCGCCCGUCACACCAUGGGAGUGGGUUGCAAAAGAAGUAGGUAGCUUAACCUUCGGGAGGGCGCUUACCACUUUGUGAUUCAUGACUGGGGUGAAGUCGUAACAAGGUAACCGUAGGGGAACCUGCGGUUGGAUCACCUCCUUACCUUAAAGAA